This 1569-nucleotide ribosomal RNA is filed under the name Salmonella enterica subsp. enterica serovar Infantis. RNAcentral describes it as "partial 23S ribosomal RNA". It matches the Rfam family "Bacterial large subunit ribosomal RNA", at positions 711 to 2179 of the family's 2925-position model. The record is from RNAcentral. Lineage: Bacteria; Pseudomonadati; Pseudomonadota; Gammaproteobacteria; Enterobacterales; Enterobacteriaceae.
AGACCCGAAACCCGGUGAUCUAGCCAUGGGCAGGUUGAAGGUUGGGUAACACUAACUGGAGGACCGAACCGACUAAUGUUGAAAAAUUAGCGGAUGACCUGUGGCUGGGGGUGAAAGGCCAAUCAAACCGGGAGAUAGCUGGUUCUCCCCGAAAGCUAUUUAGGUAGCGCCUCGUGAAUUCAUCUCCGGGGGUAGAGCACUGUUUCGGCUAGGGGGCCAUCCCGGCUUACCAACCCGAUGCAAACUGCGAAUACCGGAGAAUGUUAUCACGGGAGACACACGGCGGGUGCUAACGUCCGUCGUGAAGAGGGAAACAACCCAGACCGCCAGCUAAGGUCCCAAAGUCAUGGUUAAGUGGGAAACGAUGUGGGAAGGCCCAGACAGCCAGGAUGUUGGCUUAGAAGCAGCCAUCAUUUAAAGAAAGCGUAAUAGCUCACUGGUCGAGUCGGCCUGCGCGGAAGAUGUAACGGGGCUAAACCAUGCACCGAAGCUGCGGCAGCGAACGUAUCACUUAAAGCGAUUCAGCGGGUUACGAUUGACGGAGCGAAGCGACGUCAAAGCGUAUACAAAGUCGAGUCGGUUUAAGGAUACGUUCGUUGGGUAGGGGAGCGUUCUGUAAGCCUGCGAAGGUGGCCUGUGAGGGUUGCUGGAGGUAUCAGAAGUGCGAAUGCUGACAUAAGUAACGAUAAAGCGGGUGAAAAGCCCGCUCGCCGGAAGACCAAGGGUUCCUGUCCAACGUUAAUCGGGGCAGGGUGAGUCGACCCCUAAGGCGAGGCCGAAAGGCGUAGUCGAUGGGAAACGGGUUAAUAUUCCCGUACUUGGUGUUACUGCGAAGGGGGGACGGAGAAGGCUAUGUUGGCCGGGCGACGGUUGUCCCGGUUUAAGCGUGUAGGUGUGUGUUCCAGGUAAAUCCGGUUCACUUUAACACUGAGGCGUGAUGACGAGGCACUACGGUGCUGAAGCAACAAAUGCCCUGCUUCCAGGAAAAGCCUCUAAGCAUCAGGUAACAUCAAAUCGUACCCCAAACCGACACAGGUGGUCAGGUAGAGAAUACCAAGGCGCUUGAGAGAACUCGGGUGAAGGAACUAGGCAAAAUGGUGCCGUAACUUCGGGAGAAGGCACGCUGACACGUAGGUGAAGUGAUUUACUCAUGGAGCUGAAGUCAGUCGAAGAUACCAGCUGGCUGCAACUGUUUAUUAAAAACACAGCACUGUGCAAACACGAAAGUGGACGUAUACGGUGUGACGCCUGCCCGGUGCCGGAAGGUUAAUUGAUGGGGUCAGCGCAAGCGAAGCUCCUGAUCGAAGCCCCGGUAAACGGCGGCCGUAACUAUAACGGUCCUAAGGUAGCGAAAUUCCUUGUCGGGUAAGUUCCGACCUGCACGAAUGGCGUAAUGAUGGCCAGGCUGUCUCCACCCGAGACUCAGUGAAAUUGAACUCGCUGUGAAGAUGCAGUGUACCCGCGGCAAGACGGAAAGACCCCGUGAACCUUUACUAUAGCUUGACACUGAACAUUGAGCCUUGAUGUGUAGGAUAGGUGGGAGGCUUUGAAGUGUGGACGCCAGUCUGC